RNAcentral lists this transfer RNA (76 nucleotides) under Anaerosporobacter mobilis DSM 15930. RNAcentral's name for it is "tRNA_Trp_CCA". It matches the Rfam family "tRNA". Rfam says of the family: Transfer RNA (tRNA) molecules are approximately 80 nucleotides in length. Their secondary structure includes four short double-helical elements and three loops (D, anti-codon, and T loops). Further hydrogen bonds mediate the characteristic L-shaped molecular structure. tRNAs have two regions of fundamental functional importance: the anti-codon, which is responsible for specific mRNA codon recognition, and the 3' end, to which the tRNAs corresponding amino acid is attached (by aminoacyl-tRNA synthetases). tRNAs cope with the degeneracy of the genetic code in two manners: having more than one tRNA (with a specific anti-codon) for a particular amino acid; and 'wobble' base-pairing, i.e. permitting non-standard base-pairing at the 3rd anti-codon position. The record is from RNAcentral. RNAcentral also lists the same sequence under 1 other name. Lineage: Bacteria; Bacillati; Bacillota; Clostridia; Lachnospirales; Lachnospiraceae.
AGGGGUAUAGUUCAGCUGGUAGAAUAACGGUCUCCAAAACCGCAGGUCGUGGGUUCAAAUCCUACUGCCCCUGUCA